This is a long non-coding RNA of Equus asinus (donkey), 3067 nucleotides long. The record is from Ensembl. NCBI's taxonomy places the organism in Eukaryota, Metazoa, Chordata, Mammalia, Perissodactyla, Equidae.
CCACUGGAGCUUCACAGAAGGCUGUCCUCUUGCUUUGGGUCAUUAGUUUAUUACAUGUCGAUGGGGGCUAUGUGCCAGAUGCGGCCUGUGGGUGUUCCAGAAGCAAAUGUAGUAAAUAUCCACUCUGACCCAGUUGUGUGGGAAAACAAGCAGAUUGAAUGGCCCAUGGAGUAAACUCAUGAGGAAGAAUCAAGUGUAGGAGACUUCAGCAGAUGCAGCCAGGUCCUUUCGAGACACAGGAACUAUUCUUGUUGGAGUUCUGUCUCCAUAGUCUCCCAUCUGUGUAAGAAGCUAGAUCCUUAGUGACUGCUCCUAAUUCUUUCCUCUCUAGGAACACCAACUUGGAUCUUCAGCAUUCCUGACCUCAUUCUUUAUUGUUCUUUUGGCUUCUGAUGAAUUCUAACAUCCACGUUUGUAAUUCUGGCCUUCUGGCUGUUUCCUGCUUCCUUGGUGUGAUGGUUUGGUUUUGAUGUUCUUAAAUCUGUACCAUCCCCAGUCUCUGUUUAAUUUAGUUGAAGAAACUUAGCAAUGGACUGCGAUACAGUCUCCUCAUCCUAACCUGCCAGAGCAUGCUAGGCGGUAGGUAGGGGCUGGUAAUUCACCUGGCUAAGAUUUGACUUUGCCCCUAGAUCUGCACAGCUUUGUUCCAUUACUGCCAACUCGCACGUCCUUAGGGAUGAGUGGGGACCCAGGAAGCAAGGCACCAAAACUUAGCGGUGUCCAGGAGCCUAGAGCCUGAGCUGUCAACAUCAGCUCUGAUGAGCAGCCUGCAGCCUACCAAGACAGAUCUUAGAGGGAGUGAGUGGAUGUUGAAAUUGGCUAUAGUUCCAAAGCUCUCUUCUAGGCCUCCUCUUGGUGUUAAGUCUGGGACCUGAAGCCUCUGCUUUCCAGGGCACCAGGAAUUGGUGACGGUGACAUGGAGACUGAGACCGACAAUGCUGGCCCCAAUCUGCCCCCAACCCCAGGAUGAUGGCAGAGAAAUGGAGCUGCCUGAGGCCCCCUUCACAGAAGUACUGUUGAGGACUGAGAGGAGGGGAGCUGCUAGUUCUGCAAGGCAGCAAGCCAGCAAGUCCAGCAAGGAUCUGGACUUCUCCACAUCCCCUCUCCUUUCCUUCCAAAAUGUGAGUAGACUGGCGGAGGGUCACCACCUGGGGUGUUGCCAGCCAGCCUGCCAGUUUGUGUUUUAGAGUUAGUGGGAGUUAACCGACAGUUGUCUGAAAGCAAAGACAGGACCUGAGGUGGGUCCUGGGGAGCAGUGUCAGUGCCAGAGCAUAGAGCAGGUGAGAAGUACUCAAAGACCAACUGCCUGUUUUAUAGGUUUUACUGAGCUCAUUUAGCCUCAGCUCCUUUGUUGGGCCUGCCUAGAAUACAAUCUACAGCCCAUUGUCUUUGCCCUUAACACACAUAGACUCUCUCAUCACACCAGCUCUUAGUUUGGCUUCUUCCAUGCACUAAUUUGGCUGACCCCAAUCCAUAGAUGCUGUAAUGUUCCUCUGUGUGUCUGGUGGGAACUACAUAUUCCUUCUCUCUGGCAUGUUCAAGCCUCAUGACUGGAGCAGUAGUUCAAGUCUGGCUCUCUCAAACCAUAGAGAAAGAGAUCUUUUCCGUACCCAUGGCUCUAAGCAAACAGUGAGGGGUCCUCACCCCAUAGUGCUGGCAGCAUGGUCACAUUCUCUUUCUACCUUCUCAGCCAGUGUGGCCACAGCCGUCGUUCUCUGUAGUGUCGUGACUCAGACUGGACUUUCGUCUAUACCCGACAGAGUUUGUGCACAUUUUCUGAAAUGGUUAAAUUAAGGGUUAUACAAGUCAUUACGCCAAGUCAUCAAAACAGCAAUUAACUCAAUAACCAUGACAUUAAGCCAGCUGUUACCCGGGGAAUGUAAAAUUGGAAACCAAUGCUACAGUGUGCUUGGCUCACCCAGGAGCUUCCGUGAAGCAAAACUAAGUAUAGUGAGUGUAAAUAUCGUAAAUGUUGCAGUUCAGAGGGGCAAUGGACUACUUCUCUUUUUAGGGGAGAAGAUCAUGGGGACAAAGAAAAAUUCAGAAGAAGGAAAGACAAAAGAGUAUCCAGCCCUAUCAAGUAUGACUUAUAUUAUUCUCAUGUGAAAGAUGAGGAAACAGGGCCCAGUGAGUGAAGUUACUUAACUAAGUCCCCAUGGUUGAUACAGAAGACUGUCAUAUGAACCAGUGAGAGUAACUGAAAUCAAAAAAAAGGCUCCAGCAUCUCGGUAAAAACAUGCCACAAGGGACGAGAAGGAGAAGUUUCAACCAGCAGGCCAAGAGACCAGAGACAAGCCAUGUGUGGACAAGGUUGCAGUGUGGGAAAUAUUUAAUUCCCUGUGGUGAUUGUUGACACAUGGAGCUUGUGAAGCACAGAGCCCCAACUUAUGGAUCUUGUGUUAUAAUUUUUCAAAUACUUCACAGCAGCCGCACUAGCCAUACAACUAACACAAAUAAAUUGUUAUAUUUCUAAACUGUUAUACACUUUGUCAAUUAGCAGCUUAGGGUUCCUUCUGAAUUUCUUGGGAAAACCUCCAGAGAGUCAGCAGUUCUCAAGGUGUGAGAUUCAUCUUCUGUAGCUAUUAGGGUCCCCUUGGGAUGCACCCUCUAGUCUAGAACGGGUCACCUGGAACUGAAAGUCUUCUGAGACACAAGAACGGGGAGCAGUUAGGACUGUGAAGGAAGAUGCGGAGAAAACUUCUCUCUGCUCGAGAGAUGAACCAAAUUUAAAGGGGUGAUGAGAACACUGGCAGAAUGAUAUUUUUUCAGUAUAUUUUUUUAUAUUAAGUGAUUUCCCCAUCUGGUAGCUGCUCUUGCCUCUGCCUCCUUCCCAACCCCAUUCGGGCAUCAUUUCUUAUAUCAGGGUAAAAAACCAGUUUCACCAGAGAACAGGAAAAAAAAAGGCUUUUGAUUUUCUUAAGUCAAGACCCGAAGGGCACUUGGCACAGAAACUCUAAGAUGACUUGGAGUGAGGCUUCUAGGCUCUAGUGGAACAUAAAAUUUUCCGGCUGUGCUGGCGGGGAGGGGAGGAGGAGGGAAGGGAAAGCUAAGGGGGAGUGAGGAAGCA